This 5988-nucleotide long non-coding RNA is filed under the name Homo sapiens (human). RNAcentral describes it as "HSALNT0369663". Lineage: Eukaryota; Metazoa; Chordata; Mammalia; Primates; Hominidae. The record is from RNAcentral.
CUUGGACAAAUCAUUUUUAAAAAUAUUUCUGAGCUUUAUAUCCCUUCUUCUACAAAAUAAAAUUUUGAAUUAAAAAAGUCUUAUGUUCUAAAAUUUCAGAGUAAUGGUUUAAUCUUAAUUCUAUAAUAUGCUUUUAUAAAAUAUUAGAUAUUAAGAAAAUCAGGUCAGUCUCUCUACUAUUCACUUAGCCCAGACAACAGAGUUUCAACAUUACUAAAUUGUAAAAUAAUCAGUUAUCAAAAGCAAAACACAUCAAAUUUUAUGACAAAAUCUUAUCUUUCAAGUAUCAAAAUACUCCCUUAAUCUCUGAGUCUUAGUUUUGUCUUUACUUUUGACAUUUUGUAAUCCAGCUGCUUAUAUUCUUUAGAAAGUUUCAAAGGAAAUAUUUAUCACUAAGGUAUGGUGUAAAUAUUCAAUAUAAUUGUGUUACAUAUAUCUUUAGCCUAACACCCUAAAGACAGUUUGAUUUAUCAUCUUUUCAGAAAAAUUUGGUCUGGAAAUUCCAAGAGCAUUACACUUAGAAGAUAAAUCUCCAGAAAGAUUGAAGCUCAGUGGAUGGGCCAAAGGGGAAUGAACUCAGUUUACAUGGCAGCUCAUUCACAUUCCUCCUUUUGAAGGGGUGUAUUUUCUUACUGGAGAUGAAAAGAAAAAAAAAUCUUUAUAUCAUGAUUCCGCCAUGUGUACUUCCUUCUGGAAGAAAUUCCAUACUAUGAUCAGGCACUUCUUUCAGAAGUCCUAUAUUUACUCAGAACAUGCUUUCUAGCAGUAGUUUGCAGAAGAAAAAUGCAACUUCUACAAUUGGAAUAAACUGCCUAUAGGAACCCAGAAAAAAUAUAAAGUAUAUUCAGUAGUAACGACUGAAAAACACUUGAAAUAGCUUCUUCAACACAUAUAUUGUAUAGCUAUUUAAAACCCAAAUACAAAUGUUAUAUGAAGACUUUCAAAAGGCCGCAGGAUAAUUCCAAUGGAUCUAUUUGUUCAGUCAUUCAGAAGCUAUAUCGGGAACCCAUCAUGGAUGAGCUCUGCUCUAGGCAUGGGGAGAAAGGAUGAGGAAGACAAAUAUGGCCCUAGUUCUUGUGGAUCUUAUGUUCUAGUGGUGGUGACUAUUACUUUUUGAAUUGUGUAUUUGCCACAGGGGAGAUUGGAUUACUCUUCAGAAAUUUUAUAAGCAUCUAGAGAUGACCUGCAUUAUUGCCUUGGGCAGGAAAAUAACAGGGUUGAAAAAAAUCUGAACAAAGAAAUCACCAUUUGAUGGAUAUACACAGGAUAAUCUUUUCUGAAGUUACUAAAAUGGCGAAGUUCCCAAAAAAUGUAAUGCGAAUUAAAUUUCACUUUGCCUCUGAGAAAAAGUUAAAAGAAUUUAUUAUUACUCUCGCUACAUGUAUUAUCAAAAAUGAAGGGUUGAUAUUUUUAAGGAAAGAAGAGUUGGCCAGUCACUUUAGUGAAGUUUUAUUUUUUCGUAAAUAUAGUUUGCCUUUGCUUCCAUGAAAAAAUAGCUCAUAAACCUUGACCCUGAUGAAAGCACUGGGCCAGUUUUCCAAUUCUCUGUUAUGUAAAAAGGCAUAAGUCAAUUGUUCAAAGUGAAACAACAACAACAACAACAAAAUGUAGUCUUAGGAAGCAGCAAGUUCACUGACUUGGGAUCUUUAUGACAGUUUUGUUGUUGCCAUUGAUAUUGUUUUGUUUAUUUUUUGUUUUCAGAUGAGAAAGUUUUCUACAUGUUAUCUUUUUUCUAGGAGCUCAAAGUGUACAUCAUUCCUUUAUUAUAGCUAGGUUUACUGACUCAUAUACUAAGGAAGUAGCUAAAAUUAUAAAAAUAAUUUGUUUUUAAAACCAUAUUUAACUAAGGGAACUAAGUAAGUUCCAAUGAGCAGUGGUCUCAUGCAAGGUAUUUUCAAUAUUUUAAAAUUUACAGAUGAAUAUUUAAAUAUAUUAUAAAAGUUUUAAUCAGCUAUCUCUAAGAAAAUACAUUUCUUAAAGGGAAAUGAAAUUCACUUGACUUUAAAUAAAACAAAUGAACUCAUUUCAUGUUUUUAACUAUUAUCUAACUCUUCCUUACUUUAUGAUGCUGGCAAGCUGUUGAGAGCCUUGACAUCUCCAUCUGCAGAAAAAUCACAGUCUUAGAAAUCCUAUUAAUCGUGUGAGGUACCUGGGUCAUAGUAGCAGCUUCAUGCAGUGUUAAAAUUAUAUGAUGAUUAUAUGCAGUAACAGAUGAAGAAAAAAAGAAAGAAAGCAGGAGAAAUGCACCACCUCAUUCAUUGUAAAUGCAGUAUAGUUGAUUUUUUAAUUUGUUUUAUGUCCUCUAGUGAUCUAAGCAUGAAGCUUGAAUUAUUAUAAUAAAGAAAAUAAAUGCAAUGCAGUUGGGGAUGGCAAAUGUUAAUGCUUAUCUGUAUCAAAGACUAACACUGUCUUCAGGAUUAUCCUUGGUGGAUUAUCCUUGGCAGACACUUAAUGAGCAGAGAGAAGCUACAAUGUUGAAGGACAAAAGUCCUUUGUCAUCUUAUUAUCGAAAUAAUGUUUAAUACAAAUAAACUUUUUAAAUUAAAAUGUUUGACUACUUUUUACCACUAAGAAAUAUUCUUGGCAAAGUUAAACAACAUCAAAAUUUUAAACAAUUCUUUCAAAGCUAAGAAGUAAAAACCUAUGAAAUUAAAAUUAUGUAAUUACUCUGCAGGAUAAUUUGAUGCCUCUGGAAAAAUGCAUGGACUGUUUUAGUCCCUAAUUCUAAUUUAUCACAGUAGUAUUAACACGUGCUUUUUUUUUUUUUUAAGAGGAUGAGGGAUUGAGACAGUAAACAUGAAUUCCUCAUAGAUAUUGGCCAAGUUGUUUCAUUGAACUUGUUGCAACUUACCUUGUAAUUGGAACCACAAUUUUAUGAGACCCAUAUCUUGUCUUCUUUUAUCUAUCAUGUUAAGAAAUAAACCAGUUCCCUCUUAAUUAUAGCAUUUAUUUCAAAAAGCAAUGUUAAAAAUAAAUGUAGAGUUAGCAAAUUCAGAAGUCUUUCAGUUACUUUAUAAUAAUAAAUCCACAAUGUAACUCAUUCUUCUAAAAAUCAAAAAAAUUUAAAACGUUCUGAUUUUGAUGGGAUUUUCUAUUUUAUAUGCUUGGCAUCCUGAAGAAGACAGCUUCCCUUACUUAGGUACUCUUUGGCUUAGCCAUUCAUCUUUGGAUCAAGUGUCACCAGGUAGUAUAAUUUGGUAUGGACUUAACACCUCAUUACUGAAAUGCAAAUCAGUCCUGACAAGUCAAAUAAGAACAAGUAUUGUCUUUUGACUAGUCUCCAAAAUUAAAAUAAUAAUUCUUGAUGUAUUUCUUAUAAACAAAUUUCAGAAGAGUUAAAAUGCCUCUUAAAACUAUUUAAUAGUGGAAAGAACUUGGGCUGUGCAGUUAAACACCUCUGAUCUCAAAUUCUGCUUUGCUGUUUACUACCUGUAACCUUGAAACUUUCAAAACUUUGUUUCCUCAUUUGAUAAAUGGAAAUAUAUCUUAUUUCACUGGGUAAGAAUAGAAAAAUAUAUGCACAAAUGUUUAUUAUAGUAACUUACAUUUCACUUACCAUUUCAGGCAAAGUUGGCUAAGAACAUGAGGCUGUUUCUGAUAUUUCCUUUUAUUUUUAUGUAUUAAUGAGAAUAAUAGGUAUAGGCCAUAUACUUAUUAGAGACUCUCAAUGACUUAUACUUAUUAUUCUCAAUUCAUAUUAUAUCAUAUUAUACUCAUUGAAAAUAAGCCAUAUACUUAUUAGAGACUUAUUUAGAGUCUUAUUAGAGACUUAUUAAGAGUCUCUAAUAAGUAUAUGGGUUGUCAAGCUAGACACAAAAUAGUACCAUCUCUCUCCACCUCUCUAAAGAGGACCACAUCAUCUCCAAAUGUAAAUAGACAAGAACAAAAAAAAUUGUGCAUUUACUAGGCAAUUGAAUGUUCUCCAAACCAAUAUUCCUUUGAACAAAAUGAGUUUGUUUGAUUUGAGAACAAUGAAGUAUUUGGCUAUUUUAUAAUCAUAAGUGAUUCAUACCCCCACACACUUAGCCCUCUAGAAAUGGUGCCAGAAGAUGAAACACAUUUAAUUUUGCCAUAUAGAAGCAUUGCAAAUAACUACUGGUUUCUAAUAAUGUACCUUAUAAUGCAAAUAAUGUUUUAAUUUUUAAAAAUAUCAGAAAAAGUACAACCUUUUAAAUUAUGUAGUUGCUUCUUCUUCAUAAUCAUUUUUCUUGAACUGGUGAAAAAUUUUGUCAGAAGUUACCACUUGGGACAUAUUGUACUACAGCUUCUCGCUUGGCUGGAGAAACUGGUUUUCCAGAAGCAGACCUUAUACAAGAGAAAAGAAGUAUUGCAAUAAUUUAUCUUCGUACAACCUCUACACAACAAACUGCCUUAUACUUUGUAGACUCUUUACACAUCACUGAACGAUUGAUGAAUGAAUACACGAACAUAUGCAUGGCUUGGUUCUUGAAUUAAUGCUUGGAUGAAUAUUCUACAAUAUUCUUGACUCUAGCAAGCUGCAAAGAGAAGGGAACAUGCCUGAUUGAGAAACAAAAGUGAUUUCUCAGUGCAUCCUUGCUCCUUCCCUUUAAGGACAACUGUAAAACCAGGAAGCUUAGAAAUUCCUUGAGUUUGACUGGAAAGAGAAUAGAAUUAAAGAGAAGAAUCAUCUAUGUAUGAAGCCUGGUCUAACUGAUAACGCAGUCAGAUUGCCAUUUUUAAGAUGGAAAAAGGGGAACAUGCUUGCCUUGAGCAGAAAAGUUUUUGGUGGGGCUGGAGCUCCUAAAUAUUAUUUUGGUCAUUUGCCCAAAAACUGAAGUACACCACCAAUGUCCCAAUUAUGAAGUUGAAUACAGAAUUAUAAAAAAAAAUUGUUGAAAGUCAAUAAGAAUAAAUCUUAGAAUUUGGACUCCUGCCACAUGGCAGAAAAAAAGCAUGAUGUUUUAAGACAACCUGGCCUUUGUCCAACAUGAUGUUUACCAGAUUGCUGACAUUUUCUAGCAUAACAAUACUAUUCAUCAUUGGGAUAACCAAAAGAAGGGAAAUAAAAAAAAAAAGAAGUCUAUUUCUUACUAGUCUUUAUUCAGAAAUGAUUUUUUUGGUAAUAUCUUAAGUAGUAUCUUAUUUGCUUUAAUAAAUAACUUGAUUUUAAAGAAGAUAAACCUCCUUACAAAAACUGGGAGAGCAAAUGUCUAAUCCAGGCUACCUUGAAAAUAGUGUGUUUUAGUGGAAAAUUUAGAAUUAUGUUAAAUAAGGCUGCUCAAUGAAAAAUAAAUGUAGGAAACCACUAUGCUCCUGUUACUACAGCUGAGUGAAUUUUACCCCAAAACAUGGUGGCUUAAAAAAAAAUUUAAUUUGCUCACAACUUGAGGUAUGGAAAAUUUGGGAAGGGCUCUGAAGGGCUGUUCUCACUUGGGGUCACUCUUGCAUUUGUAGUCAAAUGUUACCCGGGAUUUAUAAUCUUAAGAAGGCUAGCCUGGGCUGGACACCUGUUCACUCUCAUAACUGACAGUUGCUGCUGCUGUCGCCCACAAGCUUGGCUGUUGUAUCCUCUGGAUUGCCUCAGACAGCCUCUCUUUUUUCCUAUGGCCCCUGGCUGUCCCAGAGCAAGCAUCCCAGAAUUGGGUAGCAGCUGUACAACCUUUUCUGACCUAGUCUCAAAUGUUAUGGUGUUUCAGGCUAUUGAUUCCUAGAGGCAUCACAAGGCCAUCCUGAAUUCAAAGGGAAGAGAGAGGAAUUAGAUGCUACCUCCUAAUGGUAUUGGGAUAAAUGCAUAUUGUAGAAGAGCAUGCAGGAUAGAAAAUUUAAUGUAUGCCAUCUUUGAAAAAUAUAAUCAUCUACAUAUUUACUUACAUUUAUAUACAUUUCUAAUGAGAAGUUUGAGCAUAAUUAUGUAUUAUGUAGAGAAAGCCCACAGAUAUUACAUGUCCCCCAUGAAGGUCAUUAUUUAAUGAUUACAAACUACAUUAAGAUGUUAAAUAAUUAUAAUUAAAUUAAUUUACAAAUUAA